RNAcentral lists this ribosomal RNA (1352 nucleotides) under uncultured bacterium. RNAcentral's name for it is "bacterial SSU rRNA". It matches the Rfam family "Bacterial small subunit ribosomal RNA", at positions 28 to 1381 of the family's 1533-position model. The record is from RNAcentral.
AUUGAACCUUGGCGGCAUGCCUUACACAUGCAAGUCGAACGGCAGCACGGAGCUUGCUCUGGUGGCGAGUGGCGAACGGGUGAGUAAUAUAUCGGAACGUACCCUAGAGUGGGGGAUAACGUAGCGAAAGUUACGCUAAUACCGCAUACGAUCUAAGGAUGAAAGUGGGGGAUCGCAAGACCUCAUGCUCGUGGAGCGGCCGAUAUCUGAUUAGCUAGUUGGUAGGGUAAAAGCCUACCAAGGCAUCGAUCAGUAGCUGGUCUGAGAGGACGACCAGCCAUACUGGAACUGAGACACGGUCCAGACUCCUACGGGAGGCAGCAGUGGGGAAUUUUGGACAAUGGGCGAAAGCCUGAUCCAGCAAUGCCGCGUGAGUGAAGAAGGCCUUCGGGUUGUAAAGCUCUUUUGUCAGGGAAGAAACGGUGAAAGCUAAUAUCUCUUGCUAAUGACGGUACCUGAAGAAUAAGCACCGGCUAACUACGUGCCAGCAGCCGCGGUAAUACGUAGGGUGCAAGCGUUAAUCGGAAUUACUGGGCGUAAAGCGUGCGCAGGCGGUUUUGUAAGUCUGAUGUGAAAUCCCCGGGCUCAACCUGGGAAUUGCAUUGGAGACUGCAAGGCUAGAAUCUGGCAGAGGGGGGUAGAAUUCCACGUGUAGCAGUGAAAUGCGUAGAUAUGUGGAGGAACACCGAUGGCGAAGGCAGCCCCCUGGGUCAAGAUUGACGCUCAUGCACGAAAGCGUGGGGAGCAAACAGGAUUAGAUACCCUGGUAGUCCACGCCCUAAACGAUGUCUACUAGUUGUCGGGUCUUAAUUGACUUGGUAACGCAGCUAACGCGUGAAGUAGACCGCCUGGGGAGUACGGUCGCAAGAUUAAAACUCAAAGGAAUUGACGGGGACCCGCACAAGCGGUGGAUGAUGUGGAUUAAUUCGAUGCAACGCGAAAAACCUUACCUACCCUUGACAUGGCUGGAAUCCUCGAGAGAUUGAGGAGUGCUCGAAAGAGAACCAGUACACAGGUGCUGCAUGGCUGUCGUCAGCUCGUGUCGUGAGAUGUUGGGUUAAGUCCCGCAACGAGCGCAACCCUUGUCAUUAGUUGCUACGAAAGGGCACUCUAAUGAGACUGCCGGUGACAAACUGGAGGAAGGUGGGGAUGACGUCAAGUCCUCAUGGCCCUUAUGGGUAGGGCUUCACACGUCAUACAAUGGUACAUACAGAGCGCCGCCAACCCGCGAGGGGGAGCUAAUCGCAGAAAGUGUAUCGUAGUCCGGAUUGUAGUCUGCAACUCGACUGCAUGAAGUUGGAAUCGCUAGUAAUCGCGGAUCAGCAUGUCGCGGUGAAUACGUUCCCGGGUCU